This 450-nucleotide ribosomal RNA is filed under the name uncultured bacterium. RNAcentral's name for it is "partial 16S ribosomal RNA". It matches the Rfam family "Bacterial small subunit ribosomal RNA", at positions 354 to 796 of the family's 1533-position model. The record is from RNAcentral.
GUGGGGAAUAUUGGACAAUGGGCGAAAGCCUGAUCCAGCCAUGCCGCGUGUGUGAAGAAGGUCUUCGGAUUGUAAAGCACUUUAAGUUGGGAGGAAGGGCAGUAAGCUAAUACCUUGCUGUUUUGACGUUACCGACAGAAUAAGCACCGGCUAACUUCGUGCCAGCAGCCGCGGUAAUACGAAGGGUGCAAGCGUUAAUCGGAAUUACUGGGCGUAAAGCGCGCGUAGGUGGUUUUGUAAGUUGAAGGUGAAAUCCCCGGGCUCAACCUGGGAACUGCCUCCAAAACUGCAUGACUAGAGUACGGUAGAGGGUAGUGGAAUUUCCUGUGUAGCGGUGAAAUGUGUAGAUAUAGGAAGGAACACCAGUGGCGAAGGCGACUACCUGGACUGAUACUGACACUGAGGUGCGAAAGCGUGGGGAGCAAACAGGAUUAGAUACCCUUGUAGUCC